CCCUUAGAUGUUCUGGGCCGCACGCGCGCUACACUGAUGCAUUCAAUGAGUUUCUUCAUGGUCCGAGAGGAAUGGGUAACCUUUUGAAAGUGCAUCGUGAUAGGGAUAGACUAUUGCAAUUAUUGGUCUUCAACGAGGAAUUCCUAGUAGACGUAGUUCAUCAGACUGCAUCGAUUACGUCCCUGCCCUUUGUACACACCGCCCGUCGCUCCUACCGAUUGAAUGCUCAGGUGAGCCAUUCGGACUUUCAUCAUGCUGGUUUCCAGUUUUGAUGAAGGAAAGUCUUGCGAACCUUAUCAUUUAGAGGAAGGAGAAGUCGUAACA
This 324-nucleotide ribosomal RNA is filed under the name uncultured eukaryote. Its description in RNAcentral is "partial 18S ribosomal RNA". It matches the Rfam family "Eukaryotic small subunit ribosomal RNA", at positions 1470 to 1796 of the family's 1831-position model. The record is from RNAcentral.